AGGGGUAUAGCUCAAUGGUAGAGCAUUUGUCUAGUGUGUAUGAGGCCCUGGAUUCAGUCUCCAGUACCACGA
RNAcentral lists this transfer RNA (72 nucleotides) under Heterocephalus glaber (naked mole-rat). It matches the Rfam family "tRNA". Rfam says of the family: Transfer RNA (tRNA) molecules are approximately 80 nucleotides in length. Their secondary structure includes four short double-helical elements and three loops (D, anti-codon, and T loops). Further hydrogen bonds mediate the characteristic L-shaped molecular structure. tRNAs have two regions of fundamental functional importance: the anti-codon, which is responsible for specific mRNA codon recognition, and the 3' end, to which the tRNAs corresponding amino acid is attached (by aminoacyl-tRNA synthetases). tRNAs cope with the degeneracy of the genetic code in two manners: having more than one tRNA (with a specific anti-codon) for a particular amino acid; and 'wobble' base-pairing, i.e. permitting non-standard base-pairing at the 3rd anti-codon position. Lineage: Eukaryota; Metazoa; Chordata; Mammalia; Rodentia; Bathyergidae. The record is from Rfam by way of RNAcentral.